AACAAAUAAUUUGGAAUAUUUAUUUUAUUUAAAUUAAUAUUUUUUAUAUAUAUAAAUAAAAAAUUAAAUUUAUAAGGUCAAAUUUAAAAUUUAAUUAAUAAUUUUUUAUAAAUUUUAUGAAUUUUAUAAAAAUAAAAUUAAAACUA
This 146-nucleotide ribosomal RNA is filed under the name Helicopsyche sp. MT-2021. Its description in RNAcentral is "partial 12S ribosomal RNA". Lineage: Eukaryota; Metazoa; Arthropoda; Insecta; Trichoptera; Helicopsychidae. The record is from RNAcentral.